RNAcentral lists this long non-coding RNA (3470 nucleotides) under Phoenix dactylifera (date palm). RNAcentral's name for it is "long non-coding RNA (PDAC_LNC001704)". Lineage: Eukaryota; Viridiplantae; Streptophyta; Magnoliopsida; Arecales; Arecaceae. The record is from RNAcentral.
UUGAUUGAAAAAAGGAAAUCAAUGUACAUACUACCAAGUCUGAAUUUAAAGCUGAGAGCCAUCGAAUCCGUAGUCUGCAUCAACAAAGUGUAAAUCCCUGUUAAAUACCAUACUUCAGAAGGUGAGGACAGCCUCAUAUACUAAAAUUGAAAUACAUCGAGAGUAGAGUUAUUUUCUUUCCAUCGACACCCUCAAACUAACGCAUGUUAAUACAGUUGAUGGUUUAUUUACAAACAUGAAUUAAAGCAUCAAGUGAAAAGAAAAUCAUCAAGUUCUCAGCCAUUGCAGUAAAUAUUUGAGACCUUUUCAUGGUCUUUGCUUCUUCAAGACAACAAAGAUCCCCUACAAUAGAGUUCUCAUGCUCCACAUUUAGCACCAAGUAAUACCCUAGUAAUACCCUUGUGUCACUUGACAUGAUUUGAAGUAGAGUGCAAGUUAAAGAAUAGUACUUGCCUAGAAUAUAAAAGAUGCAAAACAAGAUUCACAAGCAUAUGAACGCUAGGAAAAGAAUUAUUAUAUUGAUGAAUGAAUAGCUAGUACUUUGUGAGAAAAAAAUUAACUGGUGAUUCUUACGUCUAACGAAUCAACUUAUUACAACACGCAAUAUUAACCAUCUCACAGGAAACAGUAAAACAACUACCAGGAGAAAUAUCACAAGCUAAAUAGGGUUAGGUAACCAUCUGAUAUUAGGAUUUCUAUAAGCACUCCUAUUAUAGGUUUGACUCGGUAUGACUCUGAAAUCCUCAAAUCAUCGUGGGAAUCCGAUGAGCAACAACUGUGAGAUUCCAGGCAUACAGGCCCCUCAUUCAGAUAUUUAGGUCAUUAUUCAUUGACAAAUCAACCAAUUAACCAACAAAGUUGUUCUAAUGGGCAUUUUAUAUGAAGCUUGUUGAAACAAGGAUGUGUCAGCGAUGUUUUAAGAUAUUAGAGCAGAAAGGGCUGUCCAGGUCCUUUUAAAGUUAACAAUUGAUCGUCCUUUGUGAGACAUGGUCUGAAAAAACUUUAAGAUAACAAUAUAGAUCAAGUAAAGAGGGGGCAAAAUUUUGUGGGCAAGUUAACAUGACAGACCUAAGGACCCACUUUCUCUCAAAUUGAACAUAAUGAGGAGAAACAAGCUAAAGAACUUUGAUCGUAAGAAUUCAAUGUUGUACCUUCAUUAGUUUUAAAAUAUACAUUACGUUUGCAGUACAAAGACAUAUUAUAGUUGAAGCAAGUCAAUAACUUCCAUUGCUUAAAAUCAAUCCCAAUAUGUCCAGGUUCUCUUUGUCAGGAAUUAGACAGUAGACACAAUGACUUGCUUAAAAUCAUGCCUUAAUAAAAGAUAUGAGAUAUUUUUUUUACAUUUACUGUAUUAUCUGGUGACAAAAAUGGCCUGUGCUGAUAAAGUUUAGUCAAAAAUAAGUAGCAAUCAAACAGCAGCAGCAACAUAUCAAGUCAUAUGGUAUCCUCCUAUCAGCUAUGAAGAUCACUAGCUGUGAAUAUUUGGAGAGGGUUAGUAUGGUUAGGGGUUUAUAAAUAGCUUCUAAAUGUCAUCUUGAUUUUCCUUUUCCUCUGGAUCCUUCGUGUAUCGUCUCCCUUCCCUCAUUCCCUUCAUUCUCAUAUCAGGUCUUAAAAAGAUACGAAUGGGCGUGCAAUAGAUCAACCAACAAAUAAGCAAACAGUACAAAAUGUGCUAGAAUACUACAGGUAGGAGGAUGACUGGAUAACAAAUUCCCAAGGCGACAUUUGUUUUUUUUGGUGAAUGGCAGAGGUUACACUAUCCUCUGAAAGAUGCAACCACAACGUCAGCAACAACAAAAUCUCUAAGGGAUGGUGGUAGGCUAGAUUCCAACCAAUCCAUAGAGUUCUCCAUGUCUAUAUCCAGAUUUGAGAGGACAUUAGCUACAUGAUUACCCUCUCCAUACACAUUGGAAAUUAAAAAAAAAAAACUCUUGAUUCCGUGAGAUGAGGCCAAUGCCAAGCAAACAAGGAUGAGCAGAACUAGUUGUUGUUGACACUUGCAGAAUGAAUCUCACCACCAUCAUGGAGUCCCAAGUAGCUCUGCUUGGGGGACUGCCAUGAGAUUUAAAGGAGUAACCAAAGCUUGAAUGACAUACGCAUGAACAUCCUGAACAACAAAGACAGCACUGACCUUAAAGAUUGAUUUAAAGGUGACAGGUUUGAUGGGUGAGCUAAAUCAAUGCUCGAGGAUGCAUAAGCACUGAUAGAGGUCAAGAGCAGUUCAACACCAUAAAGAGACUGUUACCAGAAAGCCACAAAGAAAAUAGAAACAGAAUAAAGAACUCGGCACAAGAUGGAAAUAUAGUUAGAGAACUAGGCAUUAAGAUAUGUAGGACCAGAUUGGCAUUUAAGUCUUGCAACAAAAUUUCUAGAUGAUGAAGCAAGUUGAGACAAUUAAGCCGGAUGCAGUCAGUGCUCAUAAAGUAUUUAGCACAUGACUGCAAAUUAGAUUAGUAAUAAGCAAGGACAGACCUAUGCAUUGUUCAAGCAUUUUUACUGGGUAUGCGAGAGAAAGCCAAAUGUGUUAAAGUCAACUAGCAUUAGCCAGUAGAUAUACAUGUUUCUCCAUAAAAAGGAGUAUAAUUCGAGCAGAAAGAAAGUAUCCUAGAUGCUCAACAAUAUUAUUUGAUAGAAGGGGACAAGUAGAAAAUCUUAUAUUGCAUCAAAACAAGAUCCACGAAAUCUACCAAGUUCAAGAUGCACCUAAACAAAUAAAUGGAUCUAACCAAAUAAGCAAAAUCUCAGACGAUCUUCAGGGUAACAGAAACAUAUGUAGGGUAUUCUAGAUAAACAUGAAAUUAACCAAGCACCAUUAGCCAACUAAAUAGGGAUUAUGUCAUAAUGUUAAAUAGUUAUAUUGAUUUGGAUAUUCGCGAAAGAUCUCAAUCAAGUCUGAUUGUCGUCCAAACCGAUUAUCUUAGGGAUAUCUUAGAACAGUUAAAAUCAAAUCUCAUGUUUUGUUAAAUCGUGCCCUCGGAUGCUGAUGCAAGUAUGCAUGUGUAUGGCUCCUAGAACCCAUUGUAUUCGGGACAAAGCUACAAGUUCUAGGGAGACACUAUAGUUGAACUACAAGAUGACUUAUGCACCAUUCUAUUCAAUUAGUAAAAACCGACAAGUUAACUGGAAACAAGCAAAUUUCCACAAUAAAACAAGGGAUUCAUAAAUUCAAAUGUUACUCCAAACUUGGUACAGUAAUAUGCGGUACAUAGCAUCAUCUGUAUGCAGGAUAAAUGGGGGGCGAAGUAAUUUCGAAAUGGAAUCAAUCAUUCCCAUUCCGUGCUUCCUACCGAUAGAUCAAGUGGAUUGUUUUAUGUUGUACAAGAAUAAAGCAUAGAAAUCUCCAAUGAGUGGAAUCAGAUUGAGUUGGUACCUUAGGGCUGGGGAGGUGAAGAGGGAAAUUAGGGCUGGUAGAGACAGGCACGAGAGGAGGAGGAGUAGGAGGACGAGGAGGAGAUGGGUUCCUUGGAGGG